GGGUUAGUAGGUUGGUCAUGCCUCUGGUAUGUACUGGUCUCACUGAUUCCUCCUUCCUGAUGAACCUUAAUGCCAUUUAUUUGGUGUUUUGGGGAAUUUGGACUGUUACUUUGAAAAAAUUAGAGUGUUUAAAGCAAGCUAACGCUUGAAUACAUUAGCAUGGAAUAAUGAAAUAGGACGUUCGAUCCUAUUUUGUUGGUUCAUAGGACUGCCGUA
This 216-nucleotide ribosomal RNA is filed under the name Campeiostachys nutans. RNAcentral describes it as "Elymus nutans partial small subunit ribosomal RNA". The stretch from base 40 to 216 matches the Rfam family "Eukaryotic small subunit ribosomal RNA", at positions 686 to 864 of the family's 1831-position model. The record is from RNAcentral. Lineage: Eukaryota; Viridiplantae; Streptophyta; Magnoliopsida; Poales; Poaceae.